Long non-coding RNA from Pistacia vera, 510 nucleotides. RefSeq lists it as uncharacterized. The transcript has 2 exons. NCBI's taxonomy places the organism in Eukaryota, Viridiplantae, Streptophyta, Magnoliopsida, Sapindales, Anacardiaceae. The record is from RefSeq and is a predicted model, not a curated record.
AGUGAUCAACUCCAAGGGUUUUUGUGAUGGGUACAACUAGGUUUUAUUCCCUAGAAGAUAGCCUACCUAAUUAAAUUCUAACGGGAGAGUGGAUGGUCUAAGAAUCAAUUCCUCUUGCACCAACCUUUGGGAAAGUUUGUUAUUUAAUGUGAUUAAUUGAGGUAGAAGCUAGCAUUGGAUGAAGGAAUGGGUCUUUAAGAGUUAAUAUUUUAGCUCUAAGUGGUGGAAAUAUAGCUGUACAAGAAAACCUAGAUUUAUGUGUAUACUUUAGGUUGGCAAAUAUGAUCACCGUAUCUUUUGGGAUAUAUUACUUGGUUAUGAGGUGGUGGAUGGAAGGUGGUGCUAUUCUACACUGUUUAUAAAAAGUGAAGGAGAGUCUAAGGAAUGAUCCAAGAUACAGAUCUGUUAAGCAUGAAGAUAGAGAAGUUAUAUUCAAUGAGUAUGUAUCUGAACUGAAGGCUGCAGAAGAGGAAGUAGAGAGAGAAGCAAAAGCCAAAAGGGAAGAGCAGG